AGCGGCGCACGGGUGCGUAACGCGUAUACAAUCUACCUUUUGCUACGGGAUAGCCCAGAGAAAUUUGGAUUAAUACCGCAUAGUAUAUAGAGAUCGCACGGUUUUUAUAUUAAAGGUUACGGCAAAAGAUGAGUAUGCGUCCUAUUAGCUAGAUGGUAAGGUAACGGCUUACCAUGGCAACGAUAGGUAGGGGCCCUGAGAGGGGGAUCCCCCACACUGGUACUGAGACACGGACCAGACUCCUACGGGAGGCAGCAGUGAGGAAUAUUGGACAAUGGAGGCAACUCUGAUCCAGCCAUGCCGCGUGCAGGAAGACUGCCCUAUGGGUUGUAAACUGCUUUUAUACAGGAAGAAACACCUCUACGUGUAGAGGCUUGACGGUACUGUAAGAAUAAGGAUCGGCUAACUCCGUGCCAGCAGCCGCGGUAAUACGGAGGAUCCAAGCGUUAUCCGGAAUCAUUGGGUUUAAAGGGUCCGUAGGUGGAUAAUUAAGUCAGGGGUGAAAGUCUGCAGCUCAACUGUAGAAUUGCCUUUGAUACUGGUUAUCUUGAAUUAUUAUGAAGUGGUUAGAAUAUGUAGUGUAGCGGUGAAAUGCAUAGAUAUUACAUAGAAUACCAAUUGCGAAGGCAGAUCACUAAUAAUAUAUUGACACUGAUGGACGAAAGCGUGGGUAGCGAACAGGAUUAGAUACCCUGGUAGUCCACGCCGUAAACGAUGGAUACUAGCUGUUCGGAUUUAUCUGAGUGGCUAAGCGAAAGUGAUAA
This 764-nucleotide ribosomal RNA is filed under the name uncultured bacterium. RNAcentral's name for it is "bacterial SSU rRNA". It matches the Rfam family "Bacterial small subunit ribosomal RNA", at positions 94 to 863 of the family's 1533-position model. The record is from RNAcentral.